GCCCACCCAUCCGCAUUCCGCAACUCUUUCCCUCCGCCCGCUCGCGCUCACGGCCGCCGCGAUGCCGCCACCGCCGCCGCCGCCGGUCCACCUCCGCCUCCGGGUCUCCAUCACCCCGCCCCACCCGCUCCCUCUCCCCUACUCCCGCCGCUUCUCCUCCGCCACGUCUGGCCUAGCCACCGCCCGCCACCUCUCCCUCCGCCGCGGCAGCCGGCGCCGCGCCCCCGUGUGCGCCGCGCGGAGCGAGGCCGCGGGGGCGGAGGGGUUCGACGAGGAGCUCGGAAGGCUCCUGGAGCUGCUCCCCGGGGAGCUGCGGCAGCGGGUGGAGGACCACCCGGAGCUCCCCGCGCUGGUGGAGGUGGUCAUGGACCUCGGCCGGCCCCCGCUCGCGCGCUUCCCCUCCGGCGACUUCCUCCUCUCCCACCGCCCCAUAUCCUUCGACGACCUCCGCCAGGCCACUGCGAAGGUUGGGGACUUUGGAGGUGACAAUCGCGCUGGGAUUAGCCGCACGCUGCACCGGAUCAGCGCGAUCAGGAACAGGCAGGGAGACAUUGUGGGACUGACCUGCCGCGUCGGGAGGGCUGUGCCCGGAAGUGCUAAUUUGCUUCAGGAUCUGGUGAAGGAUGGUGGGUCGUUGCUGCUCAUCGGCCCACCAGGGGUGGGGAAGACAACUGUCAUAAGAGAAAUUGCACGAAUGCUAGCAGAUGAUUACGACAAGCGGGUGAUGAUUGUUGAUACAUCCAAUGAGAUAGGUGGAGAUGGUGAUAUUCCUCACCCAGGAAUAGGCAAUGCCCGUAGGUUGCAAGUGCCCAACCAAGAAAUGCAGCAUAAGGUGUUGAUAGAAGCUGUGGAGAAUCACAUGCCUCAGGCAAUCGUCAUCGAUGAAAUUGGAACUAAGCUAGAGGCUAUGGCUGCUAGCACCAUUGCACAGCGGGGGAUACAACUUGUUGCCUCCGCUCAUGGUGUAACAAUAGAGAAUCUGACCAUGAAUCCUUCACUAGAUAUGCUUGUAGGAGGAAUACAGAGCGUCACCCUUGGCGAUGAAGAAGCAAGCAGGAGAAGGGUACAAAAAACUGUCCUAGAGCGCAAGGGCCCAUCAACAUUUGCAUAUGCUGUAGAGAUCGUGUCGAAAACUGAGUUACGUGUCCAUCGUAGCCUGGAAGCUACAGUAGAUGCUCUGCUUGCAGGUAGAAUGCCUAAUGUUGAAAUUCGUAAGUUAGGUUCAACCGGCUCGGUGCAGCAGGAAGUUUCUGUGCAGAAGGAUCAAUUUCGUCGUGCUCCUUACGAAAUUGCGUCUCAAUCUGAAGUUGCUUCCUUAAGUAAUGCAAGAACAAGCUUGGACUCUGCAUUUAAUCUUGAUUCUGCCAACGGACAUAUAGAGAACUCUAAUGUGUCUGAGGCAGCCUUCAAUCUCUAUGCUUAUGGGAUAUCCGAGGAAAUUGCCUUGCAAGCGAUUAAACAACUGGAGCUGGAGGAAAUGAUUACUUUGACUUAUAAUAUCAGUGAAGCUGAUGCAGUGAUUGCUUUGCAAUCGAAGCUCAAGAAGAAUUCUCAGAUUCAGGCUGUGUUGAAAUCUGAAGAUAUACCGGUUUUCUUCGCUAAGACGAACUCCCUGGUGCAAAUUACCCGGGCACUUCGCGUCCUUGUCGAUGAUCACGUGGAUGGGUUGAUCGAUGUUGAAGAUAAGGAGGAAGUAAGAUCGUCUGAGGAAACCGAUGCUUUGGAGGAAGCAAGAUUGGCAGUCGAGCAGGUAGUGAUCCCGAAAGGGGAGAGCGUGCAGCUCCUGCCUAGACCAUCGACCAUCAUCUCCUCCCAAGUAAACCUCGUCGAAAGCUUCAACCUCAAGUGGGAAAUCACAGGCCAGGAGCCAAACGCGUGCCUGAGGAUCCUUCCGCAGUUCGCGGACAGGGAAGUAGGUUCUGCCUCGGAGCAAGAGUCCGCACCCGGGCUCACAGAUUCAGAUAGCAGCUCCGAUGGCAUGGACUAUACACAGAGCGGCGUCGCCAGGCUACCCUUCCUCCCGGAGUAGCAUCCUGCCGAGUUCUUUCGCUGUCUGUGUCUCUGUACCUAGAUGUAUAUUCCAUUCCUUUCUUUUUGCAGCCGUUGGUCGUUGUUGAUACCCCGGAUCGGGUCCAACUCAGAGCUGCACGACAACGUUUGGCAGGAGAUACAUGCCUGCUGACCCAGCUGGCCUGGCCAAAGACCGGAUCAUGUUGAAAGUGCAUGCAGCGGAUCCUGCGUCUUCCCCGCAAUACGCCACAUCGAAGAGACCAGUGACGCAGCACGCAGGGCUGCUUGCCGGUGUGAGGACUGAGGACGGAGUUCAGCGAUGGAUGGACUUGCAUGCAUAUGUGUUGAGCCUCGUGACCCCGGCCGUGACAUACGCUGUUCUCUGACCGUCAUCACAGAGCGCAACAGCUGGGUCAGCAUGCAUGUAUCUCUCGUCGGCUCGCGAGUCGCGACAGCGCGGCGAAGCAAAACCAAUUCCUACAAGUGUAGCGCCCAUACGCUAGUCGUUGCACUGUACAGUGUAGCGCCUAGCUCUCAUGCGUUACACAUUGACUUAGCAAUUCUCAGACACUUCACGGAGCGACACUAGUCAGACGUGUAGCGUCCGCCAGCCAGGCGCUGCAUGUGUAGUGUGAUGUCUGGCUGUCGGGCGCUACAUGAAAGGGUCAGUGAAGUGAAUUUUUUUCAAAGACAGUUCAAUUUAUGAAUUCUUUUCGUUCAGAGGUCAAA
Triticum aestivum (bread wheat) is the source of this 2739-nucleotide RNA transcript. It is a transcript of the gene named protein SEEDLING PLASTID DEVELOPMENT 1, with no coding region annotated. The transcript has 10 exons. Lineage: Eukaryota; Viridiplantae; Streptophyta; Magnoliopsida; Poales; Poaceae. The record is from RefSeq and is a predicted model, not a curated record.